Molecule: ribosomal RNA, 402 nt
Filed under: uncultured bacterium
Lineage: Bacteria
Description: bacterial SSU rRNA
Rfam family: Bacterial small subunit ribosomal RNA
Source: RNAcentral
UGGGGAAUCUUGCACAAUGGGGGCAACCCUGAUGCAGCGACGCCGCGUGAGCGAUGAAGCCCUUCGGGGCGUAAAGCUCUUUCGACCGGAACGAUAAUGACGGUACCGGGAGAAGAAGCUGCGGCUAACUACGUGCCAGCAGCCGCGGUAAUACGUAGGCAGCAAGCGUUGUUCGGAGUUACUGGGCGUAAAGAGUGCGUAGGCGGCGAGCCAAGUUUGGUGUGAAAUCUCCCGGCUUAACCGGGAGGGUGCGCCGAAAACUGGUCGGCUGGAGUACGGGAGAGGAAAGCGGAAUUCCUGGUGUAGCGGUGAAAUGCGUAGAUAUCAGGAGGAACACCUGCGGUGUAGACAGCUUUCUGGACCAAAACUGACGCUGAGGCACGAAAGCGUGGGUAGCAAACA